GAUAUAUGGACUUAUAUCUACAUACAUAUGAACAAUAUAUAGAUUAAUUAUAUAUUAUGUGCUAUCUUUUGGUUUGGCCUAAUUUAGUGGUCUUAUGGACAUUAUUAAGGGGGCCAAUAUAUUGUCAUAUAGAGUGUAAGACUAAUUUAUGUGUAGAUACCCAUAAAAGUAACCAUAGUUACUUAAAGAGUAAUCAUAGUUAAUGAUGGGCUAA
Molecule: long non-coding RNA, 214 nt
Filed under: Nicotiana benthamiana
Lineage: Eukaryota; Viridiplantae; Streptophyta; Magnoliopsida; Solanales; Solanaceae
Description: long non-coding RNA (NBEN_LNC011874)
Source: RNAcentral